UUCCAACCUAUCAAGCUUUGAUGCAAACAACUUUUCCUAUUUGUGUCAAAAGGAUGAAUGGUGUCCUGUAAGCAGCAUGCAAAAAUUUCCAAAAGGCUGGAUUAUUGAAUAGUAUCUUGGAGUUUUAGUGAGAGAUCACACAAGUGACUUUCCAAACUUACUCCCUGUGCUUCUGCACUAUCCAAGUAUAUGACAAAAUGUGGAGUAGGCUUUUCAAAGGCAUUCAGCACCCCCCUCCUCCCCAUUUUAAGAGCUGUGCUAGCUUGAAAUCAGUAUAGAGCCAGGUGUCUAAUUUAGGCAAUCCCCAAUGUUUCAUAAUUGCCAUAACUAGUUAGUUAGGACGCAGUGAAAGAUCUCAGGGAAGUUCUGUUGACUUAAAAAGGAACAGGACUCAGUUCAGCUUUUGAUCUAAAUGGUUUGACACAAUCAAGCAAGCAUCUGUCAGCUGCCUGGUAAUAACUUGCUGUUGGUGUAUUCUGACCCUGUGCCGGUCCUCCAUAAAUGGAAAUUAAUUAGAUUUGAUAUUUUUCUCUGUAACUCGUGAGAAAGUUACCCCAUAUUUGAAAAAAAUGCUCCCUAGAGUUAUGAGUGUGCAUGUGGACUGAGAGAAGCUUGUGUGUGGUAGUUUGUUACAUUGCAAUCACUCAUGAUUUCUGAGUCAUAGUUCUGUGAUACAGCAAUUGCCAUUUUUUCUAACCUCGUCUCUUCUGCUGCUUCCUUUUGAUUACCAUUUUCCCUAACAGAAGGAGAGAUUUCCAUCAUGGCAUUCAUAGACCAAUACUGAAAUUGUAAGUUUGAUGCCCAUAUACCAUUCUUCUUUCUGUUUCCCUGACUGAUGGAGGUAAGCUGUAUCCCAUUGCCAUGAGGGAACAAUACCCAGGGUGGUGGUUUGCUGAACGUUCUCUCAGCUUGGAAUAACACGAUGCAAACUGCAGGUUUUGUUUAUGUCUAUAAGGGUUGGAUGGAUGCUCACUCAACCACUGGAGGAUCCCGUCCUUCAAGGAGGGUUGUAGUUGAAAGAUGUCUUUAUGAUCAGGCAAACUGAUUCAGUUUCUAAAAACCAGGCAAGCCCUCUCUGGUUCAGACUGUGGAAAACAUCAGUGAGAAUGUCCAGUUCUUGCUUAUGUCUUGUGUUUAUAUAAUUUAUUCUGGUAAGGAAGAUGUUGGGUUUGAAUACAGGUGUGCUCAGGGUGGCUGAGCGUUCGCUCUCUGUGCUGUCAGUGAUGAGCUGUUGGAUGAGAAGUCAGCAGGGACUGUCACAUUUGGCUCAAAGUUUAUUAUUAGUGGACUGUGAUGAGGGUACAGUUUCCAUUACACAAGGGGAAAAAUCAGAAAAGAACAUUUUAUAGUCCAAAGUGUGGGAAAAGGAAACUCCUAAACAUUCCAGAGAGGGGAAACCAGUGGCUCUUUGCUUUACAGCAAGACAGAGGUGACACCUUCUAGAAUGUUGUGUAGGCUUUGCCUGGGACAGGCUCAACUCCCUGGCUUCCUGACAGUGCUCUGUCAGAGCAGAAGAAUGGUUCUAAUAUCCCAAAUGUUUAAAAAUAUAGUUAAGAAUACACUUUACGAGCACCUGAAGUUAAUCUGAGGGAGCAGGUUAUAUCUAAAUGGACUUUUUUCUUAAAAACCAGUGUCUGAUGAAAGACUUGCAGUCUCUCUUUUGUUCAUAUGCUGGCAAAAGAUAUUUCAGCCAGAUAGUUCACAAAGAGAUUCAGUUACUUAACAUGAUCUUACUUGUAUAGAACUUCUUGUUCUUUGACCCAACUAACUCAAUCCAGGAGGGCUUUAGAAGGAGAGAAAUAAGGUGUUUCUAAUUAAAAAUUUGAAAAAAAAUUUGCAAGAAAAAAUCCAAAACUGGCAGGAAAACAUCAAUUGUAGAAUUAUUUAAUUUAAAAAGUUUCCUAAUCCUCCCCAUGUUUUAACAUGAAAGGUGGAUCUGUGGCCAACUUUGUUAAGUGCAAUCACUUGGCUACUGGCCCACACACAUGGGAAGCAAGUCAUCUUGUGUCCUACCUCCUCACUGCACUGCUAAUGUGCUGCAGCGUGGCAGGAGGAGACAGAUGGACGUGAGCAAGAACUCUGCAAAACUGGCAGAGUCAGCAGUUGAUUGGAUGCCAUUUUUACAGCUGUUGGAUGUUUGUAUUGGGAAAGAAAAACCAAUUUGUGAUUUCAAGACAAGGAUAAUUCCAGUCCUUCCAGUGCCUCAAUAGAGGAGUGAUCGGGAGUCACAAACUUUGAGAUUUUGAAAGUUGUGUGCACGCUUAAGGUGACAAAUUAGGAGAGAGGCUUUUCUAUUGCUCAGUCUUCAGGGGAGAAAACAUAUAGGAUAUUUUUAAAGUAGGUUUAGGUCAGGGGAAAACUCACUUGAUCUCGAGUUUCACUGCAAUUUCAAUCAUUCUCUCUGGCAUCUGGUGCCCAUUUAUAAGGUACAAAGUAAGGAAUCAGUUAAAAGCAUGCACAAGCAAAUGUGAAAUUUGUGCUAGAACAACGCACUUGGGGUUUUUAAUACAAUAAUGGACCCCUUCCUUGUUUGUCUGUCUAAUGCUCACUUUGUUCUCUCUAGAUCUCACAAGAUAUUGAAUUUACUGGCUAGAGAAGGGCUGCAGACUAGAGAAAACAGAAAAAUUUGCUGAGAAAGCAGAAGAAGAGUGAGUCUGAUUUGAAGCCAUGUAGUUCUGCAGUAGAUGCCUGUCUGAUCCCAAGAAUGUGGAGCUUCACGUGGUUUGGGAAACCAGACUGUGCAUCAGCAGUAACAAACCAGGCUUGAAGGGCAAGAUAUAAAAUCCUUCUGUGAAAUAAUAACCAGACACAACACUGUGACAUGGAUGUGGUGAAAUUCCAGCAGACACGGAGUGAGGAGAGCUACAUGGCUAUGAACUUACCUGGCCACAUGGUGGGAAUGGUACCAUGGAAAUCCAGGGCUACCCAGGGACCAUGGCGUGUGGAUCCAAGAACUUAAAGGAUGGGGCGUCACUUUCUUGGCAGCCUUCUGCAAUU
This is a long non-coding RNA of Pipra filicauda (Wire-tailed manakin), 2997 nucleotides long. RefSeq lists it as uncharacterized. The transcript is spliced from 3 exons. The record is from RefSeq and is a predicted model, not a curated record. Lineage: Eukaryota; Metazoa; Chordata; Aves; Passeriformes; Pipridae.